GACGAACGCUGGCGGCGUGCUUAACACAUGCAAGUCGAGCGGUAAGGCCCUUUCGGGGGUACACGAGCGGCGAACGGGUGAGUAACACGUGGGUGACCUGCCCUCAGCUCUGGGAUAAGCCUGGGAAACCGGGUCUAACACUGGAUAUGACUCCAUGACGCAUGUUGUGGGGUGGAAAGCCUUGUGCGGCUGAGGAUGGGCCCGCGGCCUAUCAGCUUGUUGGUGGGGUGANGGCCUACCGAGGCGACGACGGGUAGCCGGCCUGAGAGGGCGACCGGCCACACUGGGACUGAGACACGGCCCAGACUCCUACGGGAGGCAGCAGUAGGGAAUAUUGGUCAAUGGGUGAGAGCCUGAACCAGCCAUGCCGCGUGCAGGAAGAAGGCCUUCUGGGUUGUAAACUGCUUUUGCCGGGGAUAAAGACCCUUGCGAGGGAAAUUGAAGGUACCUGGUGAA
RNAcentral lists this ribosomal RNA (456 nucleotides) under uncultured bacterium. RNAcentral describes it as "bacterial SSU rRNA". It matches the Rfam family "Bacterial small subunit ribosomal RNA", at positions 28 to 486 of the family's 1533-position model. The record is from RNAcentral.